AGAGUUUGAUCAUGGCUCAGGAUGAACGCUGGCGGCGUGCUUAACACAUGCAAGUCGAACGAUUGAAGCUGGAGCUUGCUCCGGCCGAUUUAGUGGCGGACGGGUGAGUAACGCGUGGGUAACCUGCCUCAUACAGGGGGAUAGCAGUUGGAAACGACUGGUAAAACCGCAUAAGCGCACGGUGUCGCAUGACACAGUGUGAAAACACUCCGGUGGUAUGAGAUGGACCCGCGUCUGAUUAGCUAGUUGGCGAGGUAACGGCCCACCAAACCUACGAUCAGUAGCCGGUCUGAGAGGAUGAACGGCCACACUGGAACUGAGACACGGUCCAGACUCCUACGGGAGGCAGCAGUGGGGAAUCUUCCGCAAUGGGCGAAAGCCUGACGGAGCAACGCCGCGUGAGUGAUGACGGCCUUCGGGUUGUAAAGCUCUGUGAUCGGGGACGAACGGUCCGUAAGUCAAUACCUUAUGGAAGUGACGGUACCCGAAUAGCAAGCCACGGCUAACUACGUGCCAGCAGCCGCGGUAAUACGUAGGUGGCAAGCGUUGUCCGGAAUUAUUGGGCGUAAAGCGCGCGCAGGCGGCUUUCUAAGUCCAUCUUAAAAGUGCGGGGCUUAACCCCGUAAUGGGAUGGAAACUGGAAAGCUGGAGUAUCGGAGAGGAAAGUGGAAUUCCUAGUGUAGCGGUGAAAUGCGUAGAGAUUAGGAAGAACACCGGUGGCGAAGGCGACUUUCUGGACGACAACUGACGCUGAGGCGCGAAAGCGUGGGGAACAAACAGGAUUAGAUACCCUGGUAGUCCACGCCGUAAACGAUGAAUGCUAGGUGUUGGGGAGCAAAGCUCUUCGGUGCCGCCGCAAACGCAUUAAGCAUUCCACCUGGGGAGUACGUUCGCAAGAAUGAAACUCAAAGGAAUUGACGGGGACCCGCACAAGCGGUGGAGCAUGUGGUUUAAUUCGAAGCAACGCGAAGAACCUUACCAGGUCUUGACAUCCCGAUGACCGGUUCGUAAUGGAACCUUCUCUUCGGAGCAUUGGAGACAGGUGGUGCAUGGUUGUCGUCAGCUCGUGUCGUGAGAUGUUGGGUUAAGUCCCGCAACGAGCGCAACCCUUAUCCUCAGUAGCCAGCAGGUAAGGCUGGGCACUCUGUGGAGACUGCCAGGGAUAACCUGGAGGAGGGUGGGGAUGACGUCAAAUCAUCAUGCCCCUUAUGAUCUGGGCUACACACGUGCUACAAUGGCGUAAACAAAGGGAGGCAAAGCCGCGAGGUGGAGCAAAUCCCAAAAAUAACGUCUCAGUUCGGACUGCAGUCUGCAACUCGACUGCACGAAGCUGGAAUCGCUAGUAAUCGCGAAUCAGAAUGUCGCGGUGAAUACGUUCCCGGGUCUUGUACACACCGCCCGUCACACCAUGGGAGUUGGUAACGCCCGAAGUCAGUGACCCAACCUUUCAGGAGGGAGCUGCCGAAGGCGGGACUGAUAACUGGGGUGAAGUCGUAACAAGGUA
Molecule: ribosomal RNA, 1504 nt
Filed under: metagenome
Description: bacterial SSU rRNA
Rfam family: Bacterial small subunit ribosomal RNA
Source: RNAcentral